UUACUAGUUUAUAUCACUGUACGCAGUAAAAAUAAUAAUUCAUUAAAAAGUUUUAAUAAUAUGAUAAAUUAAUUACUUAACAGACGUUUUACAACAAUGGGGAGUAUAUUAUUAGACAAGGUGCCCGAGGAGACACUUUCUUUAUCAUCAGCAAGGGUACGGUAAAAGUAACUAUGAAGAUUCCAGAAUUAGACGAAGUAAAGUUUGUCCGGACCUUACAUCGUGGAGAUUUUUUUGGGGAAAAAGCACUCCAAAGAGAGGACCUCCGGACAGCCAACAUAAUUGCUAAUGAUCCUCAAGGUGUAACCUGUUUAGUUAUAGAUAGAGAGUAAGUAUCUACUG
Long non-coding RNA from Limulus polyphemus (Atlantic horseshoe crab), 342 nucleotides. RefSeq lists it as uncharacterized. Lineage: Eukaryota; Metazoa; Arthropoda; Merostomata; Xiphosura; Limulidae. The transcript is spliced from 3 exons. The record is from RefSeq and is a predicted model, not a curated record.